UAUAGGCCCACCUCGAUCCCUCGAGCCCAUGUCGAGUUCGCCCCACCUCGACCCUCCCGGAAGAAGAAACGGAAGCUGUGGCGAUCGCGACACGUCCAGGACUCGAAGCUGCUUGCUGUUACGCCUUCUCGAUGAUCUUGGUGGGAAGAAUCUGAAUCGCUACAAGUUAGUCGUUCUGAAACCUGCCAUCUCUCGUUACCCAUCGAUAUGUUCUUGUUGAACCCUAGGAAUAUAGAGUUAGGUUUGGCUAUUGUGAACUAAACGUCGUUGUGCUUUCUCCGUUUCAUGUUUGAUUGCUUAACAUUUUGCUGUAGGAUAAAGGCAAUCAAAUAAUGGUAAGUCGAGGAACUCGAAUUGAGUAAGAGAUAUGUGAUGCAUAUUAAUUGCUUGGAAUACUUUUUUCUUACCAACUAUCUAUAAAUGAGAAUUUGUUAGCUGAUCAUUGAGUC
Long non-coding RNA from Musa acuminata AAA Group (dessert banana), 449 nucleotides. RefSeq lists it as uncharacterized. The record is from RefSeq and is a predicted model, not a curated record. NCBI's taxonomy places the organism in Eukaryota, Viridiplantae, Streptophyta, Magnoliopsida, Zingiberales, Musaceae. The transcript has 2 exons.